ACAAAAUUAUCCGGAAUUCCAACCCCAUUUCACCUCCUCAAUCAUUCAGUUGAAAAUCUUCUGGUCCCCAAAUUGCAAGUGGGCACAAAGCAAUUGCUGAUGGUGAUAAAGACAGACUGUUUUGCCCACAAUCCAGAAGAAGAGCAGGCAGGUACAAAUUUUGGGUGAAUUUGUUGACACCUUCUAAGUAACCCCACACGUUUACAGGUUUUAGUUCUUUUCAUCCCCAAAAUUUCCCAAUUGGCAAAUUUGGAAGUUUCUGGCUUGGUGGAUUUGAGUGAUCUUGGUAAUCAGGAUGAGCUGACCAGGGUUUGGCGGCGCCACCAAGUUCGUUUGACAUCUAAUCUGUUGACUAAUUAUUUUUGAAUAAAAAAAUAAGAUAAAAUCAUUGAAGUUUUCAGUG
Molecule: long non-coding RNA, 403 nt
Organism: Pyrus x bretschneideri (Chinese white pear)
Lineage: Eukaryota; Viridiplantae; Streptophyta; Magnoliopsida; Rosales; Rosaceae
Exons: 4
Source: RefSeq, a predicted model, not a curated record